This is a long non-coding RNA of Numida meleagris (helmeted guineafowl), 1566 nucleotides long. RefSeq lists it as uncharacterized. The transcript is spliced from 3 exons. The record is from RefSeq and is a predicted model, not a curated record. Lineage: Eukaryota; Metazoa; Chordata; Aves; Galliformes; Numididae.
AGAUCUUUGCCUACAGGGGAUCUUCUCAAGCACUGAUAUCCAAAGAGGAAUAGACUUUCUUUUAAUUCAGUGUUCUUCAUCUGGGUUUUGGCACACAGCACUGGUUUUGUAUAGUUAUUGUUACCUCUGGAAGAAGAAUUGAACAUGAGAUUAAUGAGACUUCAGAUAACCAGAAAAAAACAAAUAUUUUUACUGUCUGACUUGCAUGUGUCUAUCUUCCAUCUUUGGUAAAGCUGUUCUUCAGGCUCUAUGAAGUCAGUUACGCAAUAGCUGAAGCAGAAAAAACUGAACUUUUCACCUGUUGUUAGCAUACAAAAGUUAAUUUAAAAGCUUAAAUUGUAUGGCUUAAGGAAUGGACAUCUUAACAAACCAGUAUGUGCAUAGGUGCAUUUGGAUUAUAUGUAGUUUCAUUUUUUCUGUUUCACUGACAAUUUAAUGAACUUCUUGAACAGAAGAGUAGAAAAGUCAAUCAUCCUGUUUUGAAAAGAAGAUGACUUGAAAACAAUACAUUUUCAUUGUAAUACGUGAUAACUGUUAACUUGGAUUUUCCAAUAUGCAGCCUUAAAUGUUACCUAACAGUUUAGAAGCAAUUAGAUUUUGGUUUAUCAUGUCUGGAACUGAGGAAUAUUUUUGCAGGGUGCCUGGUGAUCUUGCUAUCUUGAAAAUGAGGCCCAAACCGCUUAUCAGAAGUGUCAUCUCUACACUUUUAUUCCAGGAAUGAUCAGCUAUUAAGAGUGCUAGUUGAGAGUAAGGAAUGCCCUUGUUACAUACAUAGGGCUUAGGCUAUUCAAGUCAAUGAAAAGGCAUUUAUUAUCCUUAGAAGCCUUCCCGAAGUUGCGUUAUGAUGCUCUUUCAACCUUAGUAUAGCUUGAUGAGUAAAGCUGCUCAGGCAAAGGCAGUGAAGAAGGGUGUUAAAACUUGCCUUGUGGCAACACUGAAAGAAUAAACAAAGUCGAUGAGGUGAGAAGUAAAUAUUUAUAGAUUUGAACUAUUGGCUUGUCUUGGUAGAAUUAAUUAACCAAAUGUUGGUAUGUAAUGAUUCACAUAAAGCAUUAAGAUCUCUAUUUUUUUAUUAGGAUCAAGUAAGGCAGAAAUGAGAUCUGACACAACAGAAGUUUGAAUGUGUAAUCAUGAAUGCUGUUCGUGUGUGUUCAUUUUAUCUUGGCCUUAGCGACAACAGUCUCUACAAUUUAAACCAAGGGUAUAGGUGAACUAUUGAUGUGCCUGAUAGCUUAUAUUCUAAGAAUAAAUUGGGCUUACAAUCACAAUGUUAAGAAAACAAAGAUAGCAUAGCAGUGUCAGUUGGAAAUACUCUGAAGACUGACCCAGUGCUCUUAAAGCAGCACAUACAGAUUGGUCUGUAGGGGCUGGUGAUCCGGGUUUAAACUGACUAAGCUGAGCAACCUAUUGUAUUAGGAUUUUCUCAAUUUAUUGUUUGGGCUAUAAACCAAUGUAUUUACCCUUAUGAGCUCAUAUUAGGUAUUCUUGCAGUAUUUUCUGAUUGUAUUUAUUAUGGCUUAUAUUUAAAAAAAAAAAACAAGCAUCUCAGAAUUGUGUAUAUUCCUG